Long non-coding RNA from Onychostoma macrolepis, 1237 nucleotides. RefSeq lists it as uncharacterized. Lineage: Eukaryota; Metazoa; Chordata; Actinopteri; Cypriniformes; Cyprinidae. The record is from RefSeq and is a predicted model, not a curated record. The transcript has 6 exons.
UUUCCCAUACACCAAUUCCAAAUGAUUUUCUGUUCCACAAAAAAAAAAAAAACCUGUUCCCCCCAAAAAAGGAUCCACAAGUAUGUGACACAGAGCAAGAAAUGUUCAAGUUUUGGUGCAUGUCAGCUUCCUGCAAAGGUACUCAAUGUAGAGGAAGAGGUCGACAUGCUAUGGAAGAAGCCACCUACAGAGUUGAUAAGUCUCCUAGCCAGAAUCUGGAGUACCUGUUACAUCCCAAGGAAUUCCAAACACUGAGGCCACAUGAAUGAUUAUUUGGAGAGGAAUACAUAUCAAAACAAAAAUCUGAAUGCAUAAUUGUACAAUUAUAUUUGUAUUUGUAAAUGCUGUCCUCAAUAUAUUCAAGUAUUUUGAUUCAAAUUGACGUUUGAUUCAAAAUGCUGUAUUAUUUGUAGACUAUUGAGUGCUAUUUAAGAGCUGUACUUAAUAUGAAGGGUGCAAAUAUCUACCAGCAAAACCAUUACACCACAGGUGUCAUUUUAAAUAGCACAAGGGAGCAGAUGGCAUGGCAAAGAUUGCGAAAAGUGAGAGCAGCUCCUUAUGAUUCUUAAUUUUUACAUGUACAGUACACAGACAUGAUUAUGCAUAUUUCUGAUAAACAGGUCAACUUUGAGCAAUAUGAUGGGCUCAUCACUUUCGUAAAUAUCAACAACAUACACUAGAGGUUUGCGUGACUACAUGCUUACACUGACACCAUUUUUAAUACUUGACCCUCAAAGUGGUACAAAUUAAAUGAAAGAAGCCAAAAAAGCCUGCAAAUACCUUUGAAAAUUUUUCCAAAUGAGAAAAAACAAGUAUGGAAGAGAGGACUUGGUGAGUACCAAGUGGAAACCUGGCACAAUCCAACAUUCAUUUCAGGAGGAUGGUUCCAGCUGUGGUGUCUUUGUGAUGCUGAUGGCGAAACCGGUGGUGGAAGAGUUCCCAAAAAUUCCUGACAGCAUUAAUAUAAGGAGAUGAUGUGCCACUACAGGAAAAAUGUGGCCAAUUAAAUUUUGCUGGCAUCAGUGUGAAGAGAGGAGUACUGCUCUGUGUGUGGAGAAAAAGAAAGAGCCCAAACAGAGGAGCAAUGCAUCUGGGUAUUCACUACGCCAUUUCUGCCUGUUGACUGUUUUCACAACUACAUUUAAUAAUUCCAACACUUUCUUAAUACAUCUAACAACAUGUCCUAUUUCCCUUCCAGAUUCAAUGUGAAUUAUGCCAGAGGUAGUUUCAUGUUCAG